This 504-nucleotide ribosomal RNA is filed under the name uncultured bacterium. RNAcentral describes it as "bacterial SSU rRNA". It matches the Rfam family "Bacterial small subunit ribosomal RNA", at positions 791 to 1296 of the family's 1533-position model. The record is from RNAcentral.
UAGUCCACGCCGUAAACGAUGGACACUUGGUGUUGGAAGAUAUAUUCUUCUAGUGCCGGAGCUAACGUGUUAAGUGUCCCGCCUGGGAAGUACGAUCGCAAGAUUGAAACUCAAAGAAAUUGACGGGGGCCCGCACAAGUGGUGGAGCAUGUGGCUCAAUUCGAUGAUACGCGAGGAACCUUACCAGGGUUUGACAUGUAUUUGACAGUUUCUGAAAAGGAAUCUCCCUUCGGGGCGGAUACACAGGUGCUGCAUGGUUGUCGUCAGCUCGUGCCGUGAGGUGUUGGGUCAAGUCCCGCAACGAGCGCAACCCUCAUUCCCUGUUGCUACCGGGUCAUGCCGGGCACUCUGGGAAAACUGCCGGUGAUAAACCGGAGGAAGGUGAGGACGACGUCAAAUCCUCAUGGCCUUUAUGCCCUGGGCUGCACACGUGCUACAAUGGUUGAUACAGAGGGUCGCAAUACCGCGAGGUGGAGCCAAUCUCAAAAAUCAGCCCUAGUUCGG